This is a long non-coding RNA of Melanotaenia boesemani (Boeseman's rainbowfish), 89 nucleotides long. RefSeq lists it as uncharacterized. The record is from RefSeq and is a predicted model, not a curated record. The transcript is spliced from 3 exons. Lineage: Eukaryota; Metazoa; Chordata; Actinopteri; Atheriniformes; Melanotaeniidae.
ACUGCCAGUGUCAGCAUGACUCUGUUCUCCGUCUUGUCACCUUUGAUUUCCAGUUUUACUCUCUUCCUUAGUGACAACUUUACCUUCCU